AUUGACAAAAGACUUUUAUGUACUUGUUAUUUAUAUAUAUAUAAUAAAUUAUUAUUUAAAAAAAAAUAAAAAAUCAAAAAUCAAAAAUCAAAAAUCAAAAAUCAAAAAUCAAAAAUAAAAAAUAAAAAAUAAAAAAAUUAAAAAUAAAAAGUAAAAAUAAAAAUUAAAAUUAAAAAAUAAAAUAAAAAAUAAAAAAAAAUAAAAAAAAAUAAGAAAAUAAAAAAUAAAAAAAAAUUAUUUUAUUUUUCGAAAUAUACUUUUUCAAAUUCGAAUUUUUUUAUAAAACAUUUUUUUUUCGAUUUUUUUUUAUUUAUUUAUUUUUCCAAAUUUCUUUUUGGAAAACGAAAAUUAUGUUUGAAACUAUUUUUUUAAAUUUUUUAUAUAUUUAAGUAUUUAUAUAUUUAUUAGAAUCAUAAAUUUCAC
RNAcentral lists this long non-coding RNA (423 nucleotides) under Brassica rapa (field mustard). RNAcentral describes it as "long non-coding RNA (BRAP_LNC007294)". The record is from RNAcentral. Lineage: Eukaryota; Viridiplantae; Streptophyta; Magnoliopsida; Brassicales; Brassicaceae.